ACUCAAAUAGUUUAAAUAAAAUGUUAGCUUGUGGUGCUUAAGAUGUAAUUUGUUACUUUGAGUA
Molecule: transfer RNA, 64 nt
Filed under: Epixanthus frontalis
Lineage: Eukaryota; Metazoa; Arthropoda; Malacostraca; Decapoda; Oziidae
Description: tRNA-His
Rfam family: tRNA
About the family: Transfer RNA (tRNA) molecules are approximately 80 nucleotides in length.
Source: RNAcentral